AGUGCUCGUCGAAGUCGGCGAUGUUGGCGGUGGACAGGGCGGCGGAAGCCAGGAACGCGGCGGCGACGAGGAGGAGGGAGCCGGGCCGGCUCCACCGGAGCUGCUUCGUCGUCGUCUCCAUUUGUAGGGGGCUUUAUUUCACCUUUAUUAUUAUUGGUACAAAUGCAUCUGUGUUCUUGGAAAGAGCUGAGCUGAGCAGGGUUCUUCUUGUUGUGGUAGAAUUGGUGCUUCGAGAGCGAGAAAGGAAGAACCCAAUUUUUCGCGUGGAUGCGGGAAGAGGGUAAUAUAAGGAGGGAGACGUGGUAUUAUUAGAAACAAGGCGAGGCGAGGCAAGAGG
Molecule: long non-coding RNA, 337 nt
Filed under: Sorghum bicolor (sorghum)
Lineage: Eukaryota; Viridiplantae; Streptophyta; Magnoliopsida; Poales; Poaceae
Description: long non-coding RNA (SBIC_LNC006038)
Source: RNAcentral